RNAcentral lists this long non-coding RNA (205 nucleotides) under Elaeis guineensis (African oil palm). RNAcentral's name for it is "long non-coding RNA (EGUI_LNC073603)". Lineage: Eukaryota; Viridiplantae; Streptophyta; Magnoliopsida; Arecales; Arecaceae. The record is from RNAcentral.
AGUGUGGAAAGACUUCGAUACAAAGCAUCUGCACUUUGUGAGUGACCCGCGCAAUAUCUGGCUUGGUCUAGCGAUGGAUGGAUUUAAUCUCUUUAGCAAUUUGAGUACUUCCUACAGUAUAUGACCUGUGCUGCUAGUUGUAUAUAAUAUAUCACCUUGAAAGUGUAUGAAAGAACCAUUUAUUUUUAUGUCACUGUUGAUUCCA